GACCUACGGGAGGCAGCAGUGGGGAAUAUUGCACAAUGGGGGAAACCCUGAUGCAGCAACGCCGCGUGGGUGAAGAAGUAUUUCGGUAUGUAAAGCCCUAUCAGCAGGGAAGAGAAUGACGGUACCUGACUAAGAAGCCCCGGCUAACUACGUGCCAGCAGCUGCGGUAAUACGUAGGGGGCAAGCGUUAUCCGGAUUUACUGGGUGUAAAGGGAGCGUAGACGGUAUGGCAAGUCUGAAGUGAAAGCCCAGGGCUUAACCCUGGGAC
RNAcentral lists this ribosomal RNA (268 nucleotides) under uncultured bacterium. RNAcentral describes it as "partial 16S ribosomal RNA". It matches the Rfam family "Bacterial small subunit ribosomal RNA", at positions 334 to 621 of the family's 1533-position model. The record is from RNAcentral.